RNAcentral lists this long non-coding RNA (32746 nucleotides) under Gossypium barbadense (sea-island cotton). RNAcentral describes it as "long non-coding RNA (GBAR_LNC006533)". Lineage: Eukaryota; Viridiplantae; Streptophyta; Magnoliopsida; Malvales; Malvaceae. The record is from RNAcentral.
ACACACCUUGUCGACAAGCACAUAUCGACCCAAGGGAUUCGACACUCGAAUUACGAACUCAGUAGACUCAACAGGUAGAGUCUUACUGGACGCUAAUGUUUCACAUACGUAAGAAUGAGUUGAACCAGGAUCAAUUAAAGCAAGCACACUAGUACUAUAGAGAGUAAAUGUACCAGUGAUAACGUCAGGGGAGGAUGCCUCCUCUCGUGCACGGAUGGCAUAAGCUCUGGCGGGGGCACAAGUCUCAGAUUGAAUAGUCAUAUCAGUAGUCCCGCUCUAAUUACCACCCCUGCCUUCUGCAUUUCUCAGCGGUCUACCUCUAGUUGUUGUACCACUCGACCUCCCACCUUGCAGUUUAUUUUUCUCGUCAGAUUCCGUGCAAUCUCGAACGAAAUGAUCCCGCGAACCGCAUCUAUAACAGGCUCUGUUAAUAGAUUUACCCCAACAUUCACCUACAUGUCAUCUUCCACACUGUGGACAUUCGGGUUUUUCUGGCCGAUUGUUGCCAACACUAGCAACCGAAGUAGCUCGAGAGUCCGUUGAUGGUCGCUCCUUAACAGAAAUUCCUGCAGUCGUCUUUGAUCUAUUAGUAUCGUCUCUGAACUUCUUUGAAGCUGAGAAAGAAGUUUUACCCAUCGAUCUUUUGCAAAAAUCUCUAGCUUCAGUUUCAGCUUUCUUUUUCUCCUUUCCAAGCUCUUCAGCCUUGCAAGCUCGUUCAACCAGUGUUACAAAUUCUUUUAGUUCUAAAAUACCCAUCAGUAGCUUUAAAUCUUCAUUCAAUCCCUCUUCAAAUCUUUUACACAUGGUAACUUCAUCAGCUACACACUCCUGAGCAUAUCGACUGAGCCUUACAAACUCACGUUCAUAUUCGGAUACCAUCAAACGGCCUUGUUUAAGCUCCAAAAAUUCUUUGCGCUUUUGAUCAAUGAAUCGUUGACUGAUAUACUUUUUACGAAACUCCAUCUGGAAAAAGUCCCAAGUAACUCGUUCCUUUGGAAUAAUCGAAAUCAAGGUUCUCCACCAAUAGUAGGCCGAAUCGCGUAAUAAGGAUAUGGCACACUUUAAACACUCAUCGGGUGUGCAAGAUAGCUCAUCAAAAACACGGAUGGUAUUAUCAAGCCAAAACUCAGCCCUUUCAGCGUCAUCAGUAGUGGUGGCUCGAAAUUCCUCGGCCCCGCGCUUUCUAAUCAAAUCAACAGGAGGUUUACUCAGCCUCAUAGGGUCAGUAGUUGCUGGUAUUAUAGGCACCAGAGAAGGAUUAUUCAAAUUCGAGAAUUGUUGAGCAGCCGGGUUUGUUCGGGCAUACUGUGCAACCCACUCAUUCAUCAUGGUAAAGAAGGCUUGUUUAGCCCCAUCAUCUUGAUUACUCGCAGAUGGUUGAGGUUCAACAGGCGCUGUCCAUUGCCUAGGAGCAAGCGCUACACUCUCAACGUCAUCCGCUAAGGCUCUCUCUGGAGUGGAUUCCAUUUACUAAUCAAACAACAAUUUCAACCGUCAGAAGUCAUCACACUAUCAUAUCCUAGCAUUAUGGCAUGUAUAGCUAGACUCAUACGCGCUACGGUAGUCCUAGAAUCGACUAAACUGUGGCUCUGAUACCAAUAAAAUCUAACACCCAAAUAUCCGUGUCGAUUACUAGAGUAGGUUCAUAAAACAUAACAUGCUCAACUUUUUAAUAGAACACUUGAGAUACAAAAGAAAAUUGAAAAGUGAAAUCUUAAAAUUUACGAAUAACAUUACCCGAUUAAAACCCUUUUAUUCAUUUUAUGAUUUAUCCCUUAUUGACCGAGUGCACAUACAUAAUAUAUAUAAUUCAAUCAUAUCACAAAUAUGAAGUUCUAAAUCAAGAUUUAUAACCAAAACAUUUUCAAAUUCAUAGAUAGAACUUUAGCCAUAUUCGUAUGGCUUUAUAUACAAUUAUAUCAAAAUAGCUAACCUCCCAAAAUUACUAUCCUAUACAUGCCAUAAUGUCUACUAAAGUUUCAAACAAAAGUACCAAAAAGGUUGACAAAAGUUGCGAUGACUUCGUGAUGGUUCCCAGGCUUUCCUCGAAUAAAAUGAUCUAUACCAAAGCGAAAAACACACCGAGUGAGUUAUUAACUCAGUAAGUCCUAAGAAAAUUUCAAUACUAUAAUAAUUCAAUUAUCUACAAACUAAAUAAUUAACUCAAUACUAUUCGAACUUAGCCAUGAUAUCACAAGGAAAUAUAUUAUGUCACAAACGUACCUUAUGCAUUUGGUACAUACUUACCCGAAUACACCAUAUACUCCUACUCUAAAUAUUCACAAUUAAAAUACCAUGGCAAUGUCAUAUACAACCAUUGACGUGUAUAUAUAUAUAAAUGUAUAUAUAUAAUAUACAAAGCCUAAAAUUUAAAGCAUAAACCAAGCCACUCCAUUUAUCAAUCAAAUCUCCAAUUUAAUGUUUAGUUGCAUUCUUAAUUGCCACAAAUAAUACUCCAUAAUCAACAUUUCACACUUAGUGCUCGAUUUGAAAGUCCGCACACACAGUGCUUUUACUUAUUCGCACACAUAGUGCAAUGUUUUCUCGCACACAUAGUGCCACAUAGCUCCGCACACAUAGUGCUGUAUUUUCUUAUCUUUAAUCAUCAUAUUAUCAUAGAUUGAUCAAUAAUUUCACAUUCAAUUCCCAAGAACAUAUAUAUACUAUGAUAUCUUAUCUAACUUAAUUUCUCUCAUCUAUGCUCAAAGUUAACUAUAACUUGAUUACCUAAGGACUUACCUUUUUAAUCAGAUGACAACUCCGAUCGGCUACUCCAUCACUCUUGCUUUCCCUUUUUCCGAACUUGGCUCCCUUUGAUCUUGAGCUCCAACUCCAGCUAAGUGAAUAAAAUAACUAAAUCAUCGUAACCCCAAUUUAUACUUCUUCCUCAUAGACACACACACACAAAGAUUCGGUAUUUGCUCAUACAUAAUUUAAAAUUUAAAUAUUUAAACUUAAUGUAUAUCCAACAUACUUAUCAUAUAUUCCUAUAAUUCAAUACAUUAUAAGAUCAAUUUCGGCAAUUCACAUUUCCAAAUUUUAUUAGCUAAGUUAAUUUUCGGUUAGUGCUCUUUUAAAAUCUAUCAAGCUCGUAUUCCUCUAAUUUCAUGAGUUCAACGUCUUAGUGCCUAUAGUAACUACUCAAAUAAGUUUCGAAUACAUAAAUUAAGUCACCCCAAACUAUCUUGAUUUAAAAUCGACAAACAUACAUAUGUCAAACUAUUUUAACCAAAUUUUACUUAUCACUUAUACUAAAAUAUGCACUUAAACUUACUAUGUUUACAUCAUGCCUUACACUCCCAAAACAUAAGACAUCAAUCUAUUUCCUUCUUCCAUGUCUUAGACAACUACUCAUUUUACCUUAUAAUCUUGAAUUUUGCAUUUUGACGUAUCUAUCAUGACUUAUUUGGCUUACAUUGAACCAUUACUCAUACAAGAAAAUAGCAAACAAAAUGAAUAUUCCAUUCAAAUCCUCAUAUGGCCGAAUACACAAUGUACUACCCAACUAAUAAUUCAACAAAUUCAAUCUCAUUCUCUCAUCUACAUAUUCAAAACAACAUGAAAACAACCUCCAAUUCUACUACAUUGAUAUACGGCUUAGUGCCCAAACUACCAUAGAACUUAUAUUUCUUUUUUUUUUGACAUGGCCAAGAGAUGCAUUUACAAUUACCUUAAACAUUUAAAGGAAAAAUUCCAAAAAUAACUUCAAAUCUUACCUCCAACUAGCCAAGAAGGUGCCGAAUUGCCCUAAUAAAAUUUCUCUUUUUUUUUUCUUUCCCUUUUGUUUCGAUUUGUAACCAGGAAGAAGAUGGUCACUUUUCUUUUCUUUUAUUCAUCUUUUUAUUUUUUUAUUCAUUAUGAUUUGAAUAUUUUAUUCCUUUUCCAAUUUAAUAUACAAAUUAAUUUAAAUUAGUGGAAGGGCAUCAUUACUUGGCUGGCCACUUAGUGCAAAAAUGGGCAUUUUGACAUGCAAAUCCAUGCUUUCUCACCUUAGUGUUAUUUAAUCCUUACAAUUUACCUAUCAUCUUUUCUAAAUUUCUCAACUAAGUCCUUUCAAGAAAAUUCACAUUCCUAAGGCUAAUUUUAAGCAUUUAAUUUUUUUCACACAUACACUAUCACACAUAAAUAUAUGCAAUUAAAACAGAAAUAAAUUUUUAUGACUCGGUUUUGUGGUCCCGAAACCACAUUCUGACUAGGGUCUAAUUAGGGCCGUCACAACAUUCGGGUAGUACAAAAAUGUAUAAUGAUCUAAAACAACAUUACUGGUGGUCUGGAAUGAAAAGAGAUAUCUCUGGCUAUGUUUUGAAAUGUUUGAUCUGUCAGCAAGUUAAAGCUAAACAUCAAGUGUCAUCUGGUUUGUUACAGCCAAUUAUGAUUUUGGAAUGAAAAUGGGAUAGAAUAAUGAUGGAUUUUGUUUCAAGUUUGGCCCUAUCUCUGAGAAAGAAAGAUGCAAUUUGGGUUGUAGUUGAUCGAUUGACAAAAUCAUCUCAUUUUAUUCUGGUUUGAUCUGAUUCCUCGCUUGAUAAAUUAGCUGAUAUAUACGUUUUCGAUAUUGUGAGAUUGCAUGGUGUGCCGUUAUCUAUUGUGUCAGAUAGAGAUUCAAGAUUUACUUCAUGAUUUUGUAAGAAACUACAAGAGGCAUUCAGUACGAAAUUACAAUUCAAUAUUGCUUUUCACCCGCAGACAGAUGGUCAAUUUGAGCGGAUUAUUGAGAUUCUUGAGGAUAUGUUGAGAUGUUGUAUUCUUGAAUUUGAAGGUAUGUGGGAACAAUAUUUGCCAUUGAUUGAAUUUUCUUAUAAUAACAGUUUUCAAUCGAGCAUCAAAAUGGCACCGUACGAAGCCUUAUACGGUAGAAAAUGUCGUAUACCAUUGUAUUGGUCAAAGCUUAGUGAAAAUAAGAUUCACGGGGUUGAUUUGAUUAAAGAGACUGAACAAAAAGUGAAAGUGAUCCGAGAUAGUCUGAAAGCAGCUUCUGAUCGUCAGAAAUCAUAUGUGGAUUUGAAACAAAAAGAUAUUGAAUUUGAGAUCGGCGAUAAAGUGUUUUUGAAAGUAUCUCCAUGGAAGAAAAUAUUCCAAUUUGGCAGAAAAGGCAAAUUGAGUCCAAGAUUCAUUGGGCAAUAUGAGAUUAUCGAGCGUAUCAAACCGGUUACAUAUAGAUUGUUAUUGCCACCAGAGUUAGAAAAGAUUCACAAUGUGUUACACGUGUCGAUGCUUCGACGAUACAGAUCCGAUCCCUCACAUGUGAUUCCUCCGUCUGAGAUUGAGAUUCAGUCCGAUAUGACAUAUGAAGAAGAAUCGAUCCGUAUCUUGGCUCGCAAGGUUAAAGAACUGCGAAAUAAGAAAAUUUCGUUAGUAAAAGUAAUGUGGCAUCGACAUGGUGUGGACUAAAAUUUCGUUAAGGGACUAAAAUGUAAAAUAAAUGAAAAAUGUGGACUUGUAUGAACUAUAUGAAAAUUCGGCUAAGCAUAUGUAUAAAGAAAUUUUGUGAUUUUAUGAAUUAGGGACUAAGUGUAAAAAUGUAAAAAUGUGAGGGCUAAUUUGUAAAGUUCCCUAAAUAUGUGUAUAUGGAUUGAAUUGAAUGAUUUGUUGAAUAAAAGAGUUAAAUUUGAAUAUGUAUAGAUCAAGAACCAAAGAAAACGGAAUUAGAUCGGGGAAAGUCAAAAGUCGUCAAGUAGUCGAUUUCAUUCGUCCAAAUCCGUAUGAUGUAAGUCAAUAUACAAAUAAACAUGUUUGAGUUGAUUAAUUGAUGUUUAUAUGACAUUUAAUUGUGAUGAAUGGCUAGAUGAGAGCUCAAUAUUUGAUAUCCGAGAAAGUUCCAAUAAUGUUACGACAUCUGAAAAGCCCCGUACGAACCAUAGGAAUAGUUAGGAUACAUAUGUCAUGACAUAAUAUUCGAUAUGUGUUUUCCUGUAAGACCACGUCUAGGACGUUGGCAUCGAUCUGAGGUUUACAUGUAAGACUAUGUCUGGGACAUUGGCAUCGUAUUUGAUUUCGUGUAAGACCUUGUCUGGGAUAGUGGCAUCGAUAUUUGAUUACAUGUAAGACCACAUCUGGGAUGUUGGCAUUGUACGAGUUUUUCGAGCUAUCCAUGUAUCCUUAUUGAAUCCGAACGGUUCAACAAGCAUUCCAAGAAAAUGAAUGACUAUGUGAACUUGAAUUGAAUUCAAGUACAUUUGAAAUAAAUGCAUAUUAAGAAUGAAAGGUAAGUAUAUGUUUAUAUGUGGACAUAUGAAAUAUGUCUGAAUUAUAUGAGUAUGAAAUAUGUUAGGUGUAAGUGACUUAUGAACAAUUGAGUUAUAUGAGAAUUAUGGAUAUGUAGUUAUGUUUUUCUUUAAGUUACAUGAAUGAAAUGUUUGGAAAUGUUAUGUGAUGAGUUUAUUUGUAUAUGGCUUACUAAGCUUUUGAAAGCUUACUUUGUGUGUGUUUGCAUUGUUUCUUAGAUAUCGAAGCUACUGGGAGCUCAAGGAUCAUCGAGGAUCAUCACCACACUAUCGAGUUCUAUUUUGGUACCUUUUGAAAAUGUGAAUAUUGAAGUAUGCUAUGUAUAGGCUAGAAGUAGUUGAAUAUGUUUUGUAAGGUGUAUAUCUAGCCAUGUGAUAUGGCUUGGUUAUGGAUGUGAUUAGGAAAGAAUUUUGGUAUAUGUUUGUGUUCAAUAAUGUAUGUUUUGAUGCACUCUUGAAUGAGCAAAUAAGAUGGUCAAUUUUGGUAAGAUAUGGUAUGUGCCUAUUUUGGAAUUUGGUGAUAUUUUGGCAUGAGAAUGAAUGAAGUAAAUUGAGAUUAUGAAUCAUAUAUUUUGGUACGAUUUUUGGCUUAGAAUUUGGUAUGAAUUGGUAUGGAUUACAAGUAUGAAAUUUGUUAAUAAUGAUAUGUCAUGAAUGGUGUAUGAUUGGUUUUGAAUUGGUUGAAAAUUUGGUACAAAAUGUUUUGGUUUGAUGCUUGUAAGGAUGACCCAAAAUGGGUGGCAAAUUGGCUUUGCAAAUAGCCUAUUUUUGUUCACACGGGCGUGUGUCUCAGCCGUGUGUGACACAUGGUUAUGUUACAUGGUCGUGUGUCCCCUGAGGUACCCAACGAUUUAAAGUCAGUAUACCCUACAGUUUUGACAUGGCCUAGACACACAAGCGUGUCUAGUGGCCGUGUGUGGCACACAGCCUUGGCACAUGGGCUUAUGUGACCAUUUCGAAGGGUACACAGGUGUGUGGUCGGCCGUGUGACCCAAGUUAGUAACCUCCCUAAUUUUCACACAGCCAGGCACACGGACGGGUCUUGUGGCCGUGUGGAUAAGUCAGCAUGUAUGCCCUGUUUCGACACAGCCUAGACACACGGGCUUGUCUAAUGCCAUGUGAGGCACACAGCCUGUUCACACGGGCGUGUGACCUUUGUAACUUUGAAAAAAUUGUUUAAGUUUCAAAAAAAAAUUUGUAUGAGAUCGGUUUAGUCCCGACCCCUUUCUAAAGCAUGUUUUAGGACUCUUUGAUCUACGUAAUGUGUGACUUUGAUGCUAUGUUGAUUAUGAAAUGAUUGCGAAUUGUACUGAGAUGUCAGGUAAUGCCUCUUAACCCUAGUCUGGUGAUGGAUACGGGUUAGUGGUGUUACAACUAAAAUGAAACAUUUCAAUAUCAACAGCUAACUUACUUUUAACACCAUACUUUGCCUACUCAAAUCAUGCCAAUUCACAUUUCCAAAACAUUCAUAUAUAUAUAUACCAUAUCAACUAAGCAUUUCUUAGCCUAAAAUCACAAGCACAAACAUUCUCAAUUUUUCAACCAUUAGCUACCAUGAAAGUUGCAUUCAACAUACCAUUCCCAAAUCAAACAUGAACCAUAUCACUAAGAGGUAUUAGCACAACUAUAUACAUACAUCACCAACCAAGCCAAUUAAAUCAACUUACAAAGCCAUUUACAACAUUAUAAACAAACUUUUGUAAGCCAACACAAAUAGCCAAAUUCAUAACAACUAAUAUACUAAAAAGACCAAGUUCCUAUACAUGCCAUAUACUUAAUAUAUCAAAGUUCAUAGGUGUCGAGAAAUAGGUGGAUAGUGUGUAGCGAUCUCUGACAAUCCCAGAACCCGAGCUAGCUUUGUAUUCACUAUAAAACAUAGAAAAAGAAAAAAUGUAAGAUAUAAAGCUUAGUAAGCUCGUAUGAAAUAAACUUAAUGUAAUCACAUAAAUAUAACUCAAUAAUUUGAAUACAAUAAUUUGUAGCUUACAUUAGCUAACAAACCUUUCCAAUUCUCAAUUGUGAGAUUAUACACUACCUUCACAAGUUUCUUUGAUUUGAAACUUAUAAUUCAUGUACAUACUUGUAUCAUUUAACGUCAAUCUCAUAAUCAUCCACCUCUUUCAUAUACCCGUUGAACCAUUCGGAAUAGAAGUCAGAUACUCAAGGUUUUCACACAAUAAGUACCUAUACAAUAGCCCGAAGCCAAAUCAAGGUAACUUAUCUCCAAAGUACUGAUAUCAUCGCUCGAAGCCAAAUCAGUAUAACUCGCACCCGAAGUGCUAUAUCAUGGCCUGAAGCCAAUUUAAUGUAUCCCCUAAUGACAUGUCACUAGCAUCCUAAACUAUUCCUAAGGUUCAACCGGGAUUUUGAAUGUCAAAUCAACGUCGAAUCACUAUCAUUCAUAUCCACAAUCUCGUAUUCACAAUUUAAGCAACAUCAAAGUAUAUGAAAUACAUUUAUAUUGAAAUUAAUCACUUAUGCACUUACCUCGAAUGUGGAAACGACGAAAUAAGUUUUUUAGUCGAUAACUUUCGUUUUUUCUGAUCCAGAUCUGAAUUCCACUUUUCUUGAUCUAAAUAUAUUCAAAAUUAACUUAUUCAAUCAUUUCUCUAUUCAAUUUAAUCUAAAACACACAUUAGGGCUAUUUUACACAUUUGCCUCUAAACUUUCAUAUUUUUACAAUUUAGUCCUUAUUACACAAAAUCACAAAUUCAUGCAAAUUUCAAAAUACCCAUGCUUAGACAAAUUACUAUUAUGCCCUUAACAGCCCAUUUUUUUCAUUUAUUUCACAUUUUAUCCACAAAUUUUCAACAUUUCUCAAAUUAAUCCUUAUUUUGAAAUUUUACUAAAAAUCACUUAACAAAACUUGUAUAUCUAUCAACAAGCAUUCAUAAUCUAUCAAGGAACUUCAAAAUACACAUGUAUUCAUCAAUGGCAUCAUUCAAAAUCUUUAACAGUUUUGCAAAAUAGUCCCUGGGCUUGCUAGUACUAGAUGCAACGAUCACAAAAACAUAGAAAUCAUUCAAAACGGGACAAAAACGGACUUACAAUUGCACAAAUGAGCUUGGACGAAUGAAAGUAAUGAAAAUGGAUUUCUCUAGCUCUAAUUUUCGGUGCUAAUCACUUAAGGAAGAUGAUGAUAUUAUGUUCUUUUAUUUUUAACUUAUUAAUUAACCAAAUUACUAAAUUAACGUUAGUUAUAAUUCAUUAAAACCAUAUAAUGCAUGCCCAUAUUUGUCCACUCACAAUUAAAAUGGUCUAAUUACAACAUAAGGACCUUAACUUUAAGGUUCUAUAGCUAUUUGAUACCUUUAACUAAUAGAACAAUACUUUUGUAUUUUACACGAUUUAGUCCUUUUUUAUCAAAUUGAGAAACCAAAUGCUAAAAUUUCUUAACGAAAAUUUCACACCAUCAUAUAUUCAUGCUAUAAACAUUAAAAUAAUAAUAAAAUAAAUAUUUUAACUUCAGAUUUGUGGUCCAAAACCACUAUUCUAAUUUGACUAAAAACGGGUUGUUACAACUCUAGUCUCUACCUUUCCACCAACGCACUUACGAGUGUUGGGUCCAACUUAUACCCCUUACCUAUAAGGCCACGUGCAAAAAGUCAAAUUCUCUCAAGUACGUUUCGAUCAAUGGUGAUGGAGGAGCAAGUAGAUUACGAAUGUUGGCUUGCAAAAUUCAAUCUUCCGCCUAUUUAAGGAAAAAUAUACAAAAUAUUAAAUUCAAAUAUAAAAAAUAUAUAAAAAUUAUACAACAUUAAAAUAUAAUAAGAAAUAUUCUUACCAUUUGCAAUUGAUUGAUGAAAAUAUGGUUCUUAUCAUGACAAAUUAGAGAAUUUACCAUUGAUAAUUUCGAAAAAACUAAAUAUUUUGUAUUAGAAAAAAUAAUUUAAGAAAAUGUUAAGAUAAUUUAAAUAAAAAAUAAAUAAAAUUGUUAAAUUAAAUGACCCGAAUCCUUAUUUAAAUAAAACAUAGUGGUAAAAUAAAAUAAAAGUAAAAUCUAAAUAUAACUACACUUCUUUUAUUUUAUUUUAGAAUAAGGUUUUUUAAACCUUAUUAAACUCCAUCUAUUUUAUAUUGAUUAGAAUAAGGUGUUUCAGUCUUACUAGAAUAUGGCUUUACAAGCCUAUAAAUAGAUAUAGUUUAUUCCUCUUGUAAUGGUUCGAAUUCGACAUAGUGAAUUUUCUUCUCCUCUGCCCGUGGGUUUUUUCCUGAAAAGGUUUUCACGUAAAAAUCUAUAUUUUUUAUUUUAUUUUAUUUUAUUUUUUACAAAUUGGUAUUAGAGCUUCUGGGUUGUUCAUCUUAUCACGGUAAUGACAUCUUUGAAGUAUGAAAUUUUGCUAUUGGAUCGCAACACCAGAUUUGCGUUGUGACAGAUUAAGAUGCAAGCAGUUCUUGCGCAGAUGGAUCUAGAGGAUUCCCUGCUAGGGAUAGAUAAGAUGCCUUCGACAUUAACAGAUGAAGAGAAGAAGCGUAAGGAUCGAAAGGCGUUAACACAAUUAUAUCUGCAUUGGUCCAAUGAAAUUUUACAGGAUGUGAUGAAAGAGAAUGCCGUCGCUACAUUAUGGAAGAGGCUAGAACAAAUAUGUAUGUCGAAAACUCUAACAAGCAAGUUGCAUAUGAAGCAGCGUCUUUAUGCUCGUCGUUUGGAGGAAGGUGCAUCUGUUACAAACACUUAACAGUGUUUAAAGAAAUUCUCUCAAACUUGGAGGCCAUGGAGGUUCAGUAUGAUAAGGAAGAUCUAGGGUUGAUUCUACUUCGUUCAUUGCCCUCGUCUUAUUCAACCUUAGAGACACGAUUUUAUAUAGCCACGAGUCUCUCACAGUUGAUUAGGCUUAUAAUUCUUUGACCUCGAAUGAUAAGAUGAAGCAUCUUGUGGUUAAACUGACUCUCAAUGAGAGGGUCUCAUUGUUCAUGUGAGACAAGAUCGGAAUACUGAUGAUGAUCGUGGAAGGAUACAGGGAUUCCUGGAAGGAUACAGGAAUGGAAUCCUCACGGAAAAUUUAAGGAUAGAUCAAAGUCUUCAAAUAGAGGUAAAACUUGUAACUUCUGUAAGAAGAAAGGGCACAUUAAAUCUAAGUGCUAUAACCUACAGAACAAGAUUAAAAAGGAGGCUGCGAAUCAAAAGGGAAAACAACCAGAAAAUUUCGGUGAAGCUGAUGUUGUAGAAGGCUACAGCGAUGGUGAACUUCUAGUCGCUUCAGUCAACAAUUCUAAAGUGAACGAGGAGUGGAUACUUGAUUCAGCUACACCUUCCAUAUGAGUCCCAAUAGGGAUUGGUUUAUAACUUACGAAAUAGUGUCUAAAGGUGUUAUUUUGAUGGGAAAUAAUGAUUCAUGUAAAAUUGCAGGUGUUGGAACAAUUAAAGUUAAGAUGUUUGAUGGAGUUGUCAGAACACUUAGUGACAUACGACAUGUUCCAGAAUUGAAAAGAAAUUUAAUUUCGUUGAGUACUCUUAAUUCAAAAAGGUACAGAUACACAGUUGAAAGUGGGGUUUUAAAUAUUUUCGAAGGUUCCCUUGUUGUGAUGAAAGGGUAGAGAAAGACUGCCAAGUUAUAUGUUUUACAGGGUUCUACUGUUACUGGUGAUGCAGCUGUCGCUUACUCUUCCUUGUCAAAUGAUGAUAUUACUAAACUUUGGCAUAUGCGCUAGGGCAUAUGAGUGAGAAUGGCAUGACAGAAUUGAGCAAAAGAGGACUUCUUAAUAGGCAAGGAAUUUGCAAACUGAAUUUCUAUGAGCACUGUGUUUUUGGGAAGCAAAAGAGAGUUCGAUUCACCAGAAGAAUCCAUAACACGAAGGGAACGUUGGAGUAUAUUCAUUCUGAUCUGUGGGGGUCAUCCAGAAUGCCUUAAGAGGUGGAGCUAAUUAUAUGCUAACCUUUAUUGAUGAUUUUUCCAGAAAAAUUUAGGCGUUCUUCUUGAAGUAGAAAAGUGAUGUGUUUUUCGCAUUUAAGUCUUGGAAAAUUAUAAUUGAAAAAUAGACGAGAAAACAAAUAAAACACCUCCGCACAGACAAUGGCUUAGAGUUCUAUUAUGAUGAGUUUAAUAGAUUGUGCAAGUCAGAAGGGAUCGUGAGACACUUGACAGAUCAACAUACUCCACAGUAAAAUGGCGUUGUAGAUUGAAUGAACAGAACGACCAUGGAGAAGGUUCGAUGUAUGUUGUCGAAUGCCAACUUACCAAAGUCGUUUUGGGCUGAGGCCUCCUCUACUGUAUGUUUUUUUAUCAACCGAUCCCCAUCCGUUGCCAUUGAGAAAAAGACUCCACAAAAGGUAUGGUCUGGUAAUCCUGCUAAUUAUUCUGAUUUAAAGAUAUUUGGGUGUCCUACAUAUGCUCAUGUUGCUGAUGGAAAAUUAGAACCGAGAUCCAUUAAAUGUGUUUUUCUUGGUUAUAAAGCUAGCGUAAAAGGGUAUAAGUUAUGGUGUCCUGAAAAUAGAAAAGUUAUGAUUAGCGGAGAUGUUAUUUUUGAUGAAAUUGUUAUGCUACCUAACUUAUCUCUUAAAGACUUUUCCAAUAAAGAAAAUCAAAAGCAGGUAGAGCAUCAGAUUAAUAUAGAGUCGACUCCUUAAGCCAAUACAAAAAUUAAGAACAGAGUUGCUUCUGCACUACAAUACUCUAUUGCCAAAAACAGAACUAGAAGAGAAAUUAAACCUCCAAAGAAGUAUGUCGAGGCUGAUCUAGUUGCUUAUGCUUUAAAUGUGGUUGAAGAUAUAGAUGCGAAUCAAGAGCCAUCUAACUAUUCUGAGGCGGUUCGCUGUGAAGACUCAGAAAAGUGGAUGUUUGCUAUGCAAUAGGAGAUGGAAUCACUCCACAAAAACAGAAAAUGGGAUCUUGUGAAACUUCCUAAAGGUAAAAAGGUUGUUCGUUGUAAAUGGGUGUUUAAAAAGAAAGAAGGGACUCUAGGAGUUGAAGAACCCAGAUAUAAAGUAAGGCUUGUUGCAAAAGGGUUAUAGUCAAAUUCCAGGAGUAGACUUCACAGAUGUGUUCUCCCUAGUUGUUAAGCAUAGUUCGAUUCGAGCUUUACUUGGUAUUGUGGCCAUGCAUGAUUUGGAGCUUGAGCAGUUAAAUGUAAAAAUUGCAUCUUUUCAUGGAGAACUUGAGGAGGAUAUUUACAUGCAACAACCAGAGGGUUUUAUAGUCUCAGAAAAAGAGGAUUAUGUUUGCUUGCUGAAAAUGUCCCUUUACCGUUUGAAAUAGUCACCAAGACAGUGGUAUAAGAGGUUUGAUUCCUUUAUGACUUCUCAUGAUUUCAAAGAAAUAGUUUUGACAGUUGUGUUUACUUUAAGAAAAACAGUGAUGGUUCUUUUGUGUAUCUACUUCUUUAUGUUGAUGACAUGUUAAUAGCAGCAAAAGAUAAAUGAGAGAUAACAAAGGUCAAAGCCUAACUAAGUGAAGAAUUUGAGAUGAAAGAUUUAGGACUAGUAAACAAGAUACUUGGUAUAGAGAUUCUCAGAGAUAGAAAAGCAAGUAAAUUGUACCUAAGUCAAAAGGGGUACAUUGAGAAAGUUAUUUGCAGGUUCAAUAUGCAAAGUGCUAAGCCUGUUAGUACUCAUUUAUCAACCCAUUUUAGACUUUCAUCGGCUUUGUCUCCACAAUGAGAUGAUGAGAUUGAGUACAUGUCACAUGUUUCAUACUCUAGUAUAGUGGGAUCUCUCAUAUAUGCUAUGGUUUGUUCACGUCCAGAUUUAUCAUAUGCAGUCAGUACAGUUAGCAGAUACAUGGAGAAUCCCGGUAAAGAACACUGGAAAGCAGUUCAGUGGAUUUUAAGAUACUUACGAGAUACUACUGAUGUUUGCUUACAGUUUGGAAGAACUAGAGAUGGAGUCAUUGUGUGACAGCCCAAAAUUGACCCUAGUCGGGAAGUGGUUUCGGGACCACAAAACUGAUUCAUACUAAUAAUUAGCCAUCAUAUUUGAUGCUUAUUAUAUGUAUAUAUGCAUGUGUGAAAAUUUCAUGCUUGAAUUUUGUUAAUUGUAAGUGAAUUUUAUUAAAUAGGACUUAUGUGAGAAAAUUUAGAAAUGUGCUAGGCAAAUGUGAAGUGGCCUAUUAAUGCAUGUUAUGAAAAUGAUGGGUUUGCAUGUCAAAUUACCCAAAAUUUGAGCUAGUGGCUGGCCAUGCUAUGGGUGGAAACAUGUUGGGAACAUGUUGGCUUAGUGUGUUAUGUUAGAAAGAUUAAAUAAAAAGGUUAGUAAUUAAGUAAUGAAAAGGGAGGGGUGAUGAAAACAAAGUUGUCUCAUCCAUCCCCCCCCCUCCAUUUGCCGUAACUAGACAAAGAAAAGAGAAAAAAAAAGAAAGAGUGUGUUCAUCUUCCUUACCUUCUUGCAAAGCCGAAACAAAAGAGGAAAGAGGAAGGAAUUUGUCUAGGGCAUUCGGCUAUCUUGGAGGUUAAAUAAGGUAGGAGUUCAUGUUAUUUCUAUUGAUUUUUAUGAGAAUCUAGUAGUAGUCAAGCUCUUAUUGUAACCCAUAUGUUGAUUUUUCUUUAGUUUUGGUGACAAAUUGUGCAUACGGUAUUAUUGGAUAAAUGCUAAAAGGAUGGUGUUUUGAUAUUUUGGAUUGAAAUAUUAGAAAGGGGAAAAUAUGAGCUACCUAAAUAGAUAUAUGUGAAUUUAAAAGAUGGUAUAAACAAAUGUGGAGUUUUGCUAGUUUAGGAUUAUUCGGCCAAGUGUUUAUGUGGUGGAAAUUAAGUGUUAAAUGGAAUGAAAAUGAUAUUAUAUGGGGGUAUGUAUAUUCGGCCAUAUGAGUAAAUAUAUAGAUGAUGUUAAAUUUGAUUAUGUAUAAUGGGCCAUAUAGAGUACACAUUGUGAUAUUAACUUUAAUUCUCUAUAAUUGAUCAAGUGGGUGAUAUUGGUUUAUAUGGCUGAAUUUGAUUUAUGAAUAUGUACCUUGAAAUAAAAUAUAUCAUCGACUAUGUUACUUUGGAAGUAAGAAUGCAUUCGGCCUUGAGACAAUUUAUAAGUAUUAGUUAAUGUUCUAAUGUUUUGAACAAGAAUGGUUGUAAGAUGAAACGAAAAUUAUUAAAAUAUAUAUGAGUAAUUAACAAGGGUGGUUGCCGUGUAUAUAAUAUUUAUGUGUGUUUUAUUGAAAUAUUUAUUGGGUUAAUUUUAGUAAUUGGAUCUUAGGUGAUCAAUAGCUGAAUGGCUUAAAGUUAGUAAAAAGCAUAAGGUGAAUAAAAAUAAAAUGUUGCCGUAUGCUUCUUUUGAUAUGAAACUAUUAAUGUUAUGGGAUAUAAAUAACUAGCAAGGUAAUUAAACUAGUUGAUUUAUUUAUUUAAGCUCAAGAACCUAAAGGAGAGGCGUCCAACAAGGGGAAAUCGAAGGUCAUCGAGUAGCCGACUUGGAAUUAUUUUACCCAACAUAAAGUAAGUCAUUAAGCAUAUAGUUUGUAUUAAUUUAAAUGGUCAUAACGUCUAUGUAAUGAUGCUGAAUGGAAUGAUAAAUAUAUAUAUACAUGUAUGUAUGUGGUGAUGAAAGUGUUGAAUGAAAAGAAAAGAGGUGAGAUGUAUUGAGUUGUUGAUCUCGGCACUAAGUGUGCGGGUAUAAACAUUUAUGAUCAUGAGAUUGGCGCUAAGUGUGCGGGUUUAAAUUGUACAGCACUAAGUGUGCGAGUUUGAUUAUAUAGCACUAAGUGUGCGAGUUGAUUAUAUAGCACUGAGUGUGCGGACUUAAUAUAUACUUUUGAAUCACUAUGGACACUAAGUGUGCGACAUUAUUAAGUUGAUCACAGACAGCGGAUCGGGUAAGUACCUUGAGUUCGUGACUAAUAGGCGCUAUGUUUAUAUUUGAAGUUGAGCUUGGUAAGUUUGAACCUAUGUGACAAUUAUAAUUGAAGUCACGUACAUAAGAUUUAUCGUGGAAUAGGUGAAAGGUCGUUUAGUUGUAUGAUGGUAACGAAAAUAAAAUGAUGUAUGAAAAUGCCUCAAAUAUCCUAUUGACUAGUAUAUGGAAUGUGAAUGCAUGACUUGGUAGGAGAUUGAACCGAUAGAUUUAAGGAACUAUGGUAUGGUUCGGUAUGGAUGGAGUAACUAGCCUCGUUCCAUUUUGUUUCCUCUUGUGAUAAUGUUAUUAAUGGAUGGUAGUGCAUUGCUUAUGACUUACUGAGUUAUAUACUCACUCGGUGUUUCCUUGUCACCUAUUUUAGGUUUCUUGGACUCGUCUCUUUUUGCGUGAUCGGGCCGUCAUCAGAGUCAUCACACCGGCUAGCAACUUUUGGUAUCUUCUUUUUAGUCGGUCUAGGAGAACAUUUCGGCAUGUAUAGGCUAAUAUGUUUUGUUGAAAUUUGGUAUGUAAACUUUUAGCCAUGCGAAAAUGGCAUAAAUGUUCGGUUGGAUUUGGUUUUAUAACGUUAGGUCGUAAGUCUUGGUAAUUCGAUUUUUAUGCCAUAUGUCAUGGCUGAUUAAUUUUGGUGUUAAGAUUCAUGAUAUGGCAAUAGUGUAGUAGGGAGAUGUUUGACAAUGAUUAGCCUUUGGUAUGGCUAGUCAUGAUUAUAAUUUUGUGAUAUGUAUGAUGAAUUACUAGUUAGAUCAAUGAGAAAUCACGAAAUGGGCAUAGUUGCUUCAGUAACAGAUGCUGGCAGCAGCAGUGACGUGGGAUUGAAAAAUUACAAAAAUUAGUAGGAAUGGAAUUAAAUAGUGAAUAAAUUAUGUAAUCGAAGCUCGAUGAGUCUAUUUUCAUAUAGAAGUAACGAAACGAUCAUAUAGACAGUAUGUUAAGAGAUAUUCAGGUUCUCGUGAGACAGGGCCAGAACGGUUUCUGGGUUCCCUGUUCCGACUUUGGAAAUUCAUUAUAAAUUAACCAAAGAUAAUUAGGAGUCAUGCGAUAUAUGUAUAGAUUCCUCUCUGAGUCUAGUUUCUAUAGAAACAAACGGCAUCAGUAUUGAAGCUCUGUGCAGGGAGUUAUCCAAAUCGUAAUGCAUGAAGGUCAGUGUAGUCGUACCCUGUAAUAGGGGAGAAUUUAACUAAUAAAUGUACUAAUUGGCCUGACCAAAAAUUCUACAAAAAUUCUACCAUAUAGGUUUGUGAGUCUAGUUCUAGGGAAAAUUUACGGAACUGGAUUUUGAGUUUCAGAACUCAAGAUAUGAUUUUUAAAGAGACUAGUACGCAGAUUGGCAGCUUGUCUGGGAAAUGUCAAAUAAGUGGUUUGAAGUCUGUUAACACCUCGUGUUCGACUCCGGCGACGGUCUCGGGUUCGGGGUGUUACAAUUUUAUUGGUAUCAGAGCUAUGGUUUAGUCGGUUCUAGGGCUACCAUAGCACGUAUGAGUCUAGCUAUACAUGCCUUAAUGUUAAUGUUUAAAUGUGUGAUGACUUCUGACGGUUAAAAUUUUUGUUUUGAUUAGUAAAUGGAUCCCGGUGUAGAGAGAACCUUGGCGGAUGACGUUGAAAGUGUAGCGGCUGCUCCUGCACAAGGGACGCCGCCUGUUGAACCUCAGUCAUCUGCGAAUAAUCAAGGUGAGGGGGCUAAACAAGCCUUCUUUACCAUGAUGAAUGAGUGGGUCGCGCAAUAUGCCCGAACCAAUCCGGCUAUCCAACAAUUCCCGAAUUUGAAUAAUCCACCCCAAGAGCCCGUAAUGCCAUCAGUCACUGAUCCUAUGAGGCUGAGUAAGCCACCUGUAGACUUGAUUAGGAAGCGCGGGGCUGAGGAGUUCAGGGCCAUAGUUACUGAUGAUGCUGAAAGGGCCGAGUUCUGGCUUGAUAACACCAUUCGGGUGUUUGAUAAACUGUCAUGCACACCCGAUGAAUGUCUAAAGUGUGCUAUAUCCUUGUUGCGGGACUCAGCCUACUAUUGGUGGAGGACCCUGAUUUCCAUAGUCCUAAACGAACGAGUUACUUGGGACUUCUUUCAAACGGAAUUCCGAAAGAAAUAUAUUAGUCAACGGUUCAUUGAUCAAAAGCGCAAGGAAUUAUUGGAACUCAAGCAAGGCCGUAUGACAGUAUCUGAAUACGAACAUGAAUUCGUAAGACUCAGUAGGUAUGCCCGGGAAUGUGUAGCUGAUGAGGUUGCUAUGUGCAAAAGAUUCGAAGAAGGAUUGAAUGAAGAUUUAAAGCUACUAGUGGGUAUUUUGGAGAUAAAAGAAUUCGUGACACUAGUCGAACGGGCCUGCAAGGCGGAAGAACUUGGAAAGGAGAAGAAGAAGGCUGAAUUUGAAGCUAGAGACUAUCGUAAAAGAUCGACGGGUAAAGCUCCGUUCUCAGCUGUAAAGAAGUUCAGGGAGGACACUAAUAAGUCGAGGACGACUGCGGGAAUUUCCAUCAGAGCACGACCAUCGACGGACUCCCGAGCUACUUCGGUAGCUAGUGUGGGCAAUAAUCGUCAAGAGAAACCUGAAUGUCCCCAAUGCGGAAGACGACACUUAGGUGAAUGUUGGGGUAAGUCUACUAACAGGGCCUGUUACGGAUGCGGUUCGAAGGACCACUUUAUUAGAGAUUGCACGGAGCUUGAUGAGAAGAAUAAGAUUCAAGGUGCAAGACCUAGUGGAGUGACAACUAGAGGUAGACCACCGAGAAUUUUAGGAGGUAGGGGUGGUAGUCAGAGAGGGGCCUCUGAUACGGCUGUUCGAGCCGAGAACCGUACUCCUGCUAGAGCAUAUGCCAUUCGCGCACGAGAGGAGGCAUCCUCCCCUGACGUCAUCACUGGUACCUUCACUCUCUUUGAUACUAAUGUGAUUGCAUUGAUUGACCCUGGCUCUACUCAUUCAUAUGUAUGUGAAACCUUAGCAUCCAGUAAGACUCUACCUGUUGAGUCCACUAAGUUCGUAAUUCGAGUGUCAAACCCUUUGGGUCAAUACGUACUUGUUGAUAAAGUGUGUAAGAGAUGUCCUCUAAUAAUCCGAGAAUCCUGUUUUCCGGCCGAUUUGAUGCUUUUGCCGUUUGACGAAUUUGAUGUUAUUCUUGGUUUGGAUUGGUUGACCGCGCAUGAUGCGGUUGUGAAUUGAAAAAGAAAGACUAUUGAUUUGAGGUGCGCAAAUAACGAGAUAAUCCGAGUUGAGUCUACGGACUUAAGGGGGUUACCAGCUGUAAUAUCAGCAAUGUUGGCCCAGAAAUAUGUAAGAAAAGGGUGCGAAGCAUACCUUGCGUAUGUACUUGAUGACAAAGAAUUAGAAAAGAAACCCGAAUCUGUGCCGGUGGUUUGUGAAUACCCGGAUGUUUUUCCUGAAGAGUUACCGGGUUUGCCACCUGUUCGGGAGAUAGAGUUUGGUAUUGAGCUUGUACCUGGAACUACGCCAAUUUCGAUAGCUCCGUAUCGUAUGGCACUAACCGAGUUAAAGGAAUUGAAAGCUCAAUUGCAAGAGUUGACGGAUAGAGGUUUCGCUCGACCAAGUUUCUCACCUUGGGGUGCACCAGUAUUGUUCGUGAAAAAGAAGGACGGAACCAUGAGGUUGUGCAUUGACUAUCGUCAACUGAAUAAAGUGACGAUAAAGAAUAAAUAUCCAUUACCGCGUAUUGAUGAUUUGUUUGAUCAACUAAAGGGAGCCUCAGUGUUUUCAAAGAUAGAUUUGAGAUCGGGUUAUUAUCAGUUGCGGAUUCGAGAUUCGGACGUACCCAAAACUGCUUUCAGAACGAGGUACGGUCACUACGAGUUCUUAGUGAUGCCGUUCGGGCUCACUAAUGCCCCUGCGAUAUUUAUGGAUUUGAUGAAUCGGAUCUUCAGACAGUAUUUAAACCGGUUCGUAGUUGUGUUCAUUGAUGACAUCUUAGUCUAUUCAGGAGAUGAGACCGAACAUGCUGAGCACCUGAGAUUAGUGUUGCAAAUUUUGCGGGAUAAGAAGUUAUAUGCUAAGUUCAGUAAGUGUGAGUUCUGGUUAAGAGAGGUUAGUUUCUUGGGUCAUGUGGUAUCCGCAUCGGGUAUUCGAGUUGACCCGAGCAAAAUUUCAGCCAUACUUAACUGGAAGCCUCCAAGAAAUGUUACCGAAGUUCGGAGCUUCCUGGGGCUCGCCGAUUAUUACCGACGAUUUUUAAAAGGUUUCUCGAUGAUAGCCACACCAAUGACGAAGCUACUUCAAAAGGAUGCUAAGUUCGAAUGGACGGAGAAAUGUCAGAAAAGCUUCGAUCAACUGAAAACUCAUUUAACUGAAGCUCCAAUUUUGGUGUUAAGAUUCAUGAUAUGGCAAUAGUGUAGUAGGGAGAUGUUUGACAAUGAUUAGCCUUUGGUAUGGCUAGUCGUGAUUAUAAUUUUGUGAUAUGUAUGAUGAAUUACUAGUUAGAUCAAUGAGAAAUCACGAAAUGGGCAUAGUUGCUUCAGUAACAGAUGCUGGCAGCAGCAGUGACGUGGGAUUGAAAAAUUACAAAAAUUAGUAGGAAUGGAAUUAAAUAGUGAAUAAAUUAUGUAAUCGAAUCUCGAUGAGUCUAAUUUCAUAUAGAAGUAACGAAACGAUCAUAUGGACAGUAUGUUAAGAGAUAUUCAGGUUCUCGUGAGACAGGGCCAGAACGGUUUCUAGGUUCCCUGUUCCGACUUUGGAAAUUCAUUAUAAAUUAACCAGAGAUAAUUAGGAGUCAUGCGAUAUAUGUAUAGAUUCCUCUCUGAGUCUAGUUUCUAUAGAAACAAACGGCAUCAGUAUUGAAGCUCUGUGCAGGGAGUUAUCCAAAUCGUAACGCAUGAAGGUCAGUGUAGUCGCACCCUGUAAUAGGGGAGAAUUUAACUAAUAAACUGUACUAAUUGGCCUGACCAAAAAUUCUACAAAAAUUCUACCAUAUAGGUUUGUGAGUCUAGUUCCAGGGAAAAUUUACGGAACUGGAUUUCGAGUUUCAGAACUCAAGAUAUGAUUUUUAAAGCGACUAGUACGCAGAUUGGCAGCUUGUCUGGGAAAUGUCAAAUAAGUGGUUUGAAGUCUGUUAACACCUCGUGUUCGACUCCGGCGACGGUCUCGGGUUCGGGGUGUUACACAUUGGGUAUGUUGAUGCUGAUUUUUCUGGAGACCUUGUUAGAAGAAGAUCUCUCACAGGUUAUGUUUUUACAAUCGGAGGUUGUGCAAUUAGUUGGAAAGUCGCUUUGCAAACUACAGUCGUUUUGUCUACCACUGAAGCUGAGUACAUGGCAAUUACUGAGGCUUGUAAAGAAGCUAUCUGGUUGAAGGGACUCUUUAGUAAACUCAAUAAAGACCUUCAAAUCACUACAGUAUUUUGUGACAGUCAGAGUUCAAUCUUCCUUACAAAAGAUCAAAUGUUUCAUGAGAGAACAAAACAAAUUAUGUUCGGUAUCAUUUUCGGUAUCAUUUUGUUCGUGAUAUUAUUGCUCAUGGAGAUAUUGUUGUGAGCAAAAUUAGUACUCAUGAAAAUCCUACAGAUAUGAUGACUAAGUCACUUCCUAUAACCAAGUUUGAGCAUUACUUAGACUUUGGUUGGUGUCCAUUGUUGAAGUUAAACCCUUAAGAGGUUUUAUGGAAGAGGUGGAGAACUUGUUCGUUGAGAGUUCGCGAUGAAGAACUUGUUCAUUGAGAAUCAUGUCAAGGUGGAGAUUGUUAGAUUUAAAUGACCCGAAUCAUUAUUUAAAUAAAAUACAAUGGUAAAAUAAAAUAAAAGUAAAAUCCAUAUAGAACUACACUUCUUUUAUUUUAUUUUAGAAUAAGGUUUUUUAAACCUUAUUAAACUCCAUCUAUUUUAUAUUGAUUAGAAUAAGGUGUUUCAGUCUUACUAGAAUAUGGCUUUACAAGCCUAUAAAUAGACAUAAUCUAUUCUUCUUGUAAUGAUUCGAAUUCGACAUAGUGAAUUUUUUUCCCCUCUGCCUGUGAUUUUUUUCCCGAAAGGGUUUCCACGUAAAAAUCUGUGUGUUCUUUAUUUUAUUUUGUUUUAUUUUAUUUUUCACAAAAAUUGAGAGAGCAAAAAAAAAUAGUGAAUUUAAGUGGGUAUUAAUAAUGUGUGAGAGAGAUGAGAUUGAAUUGAAAAAAAAAUGAAAUGGGAGGGGUUAUAGGAAAAUAAAAUUUGACUGUUUGAGGGUGUCUAACAACUAAUUAAAUAGUUGUUAUUUUUUAUUGUUAGGGGAAAAACGCUUCCAGCUAGAAGUAUUUUCAAAUGACUUAGCAGAAAGCAAUUCUAACUAGAAGCAUUUUCCAUACAACAUGCUGAAAACGCUUCCAAUUGAAAGUAUUUUCUUGCAAAUUGGAAGCGUUUUCCAAAAAAUAGCUUAUUUCGAUAAUUUUUUUCCAAAAUCGGUCUAUUCAAGUAAUAUUUUUUUGACAUUUAUUGAUAAAUUAAUCUUUUAAUUGACCAAAGUUAAUAUAAUUUUCCCAAGAUUCAAAAAGAAAAUUAUUUAAAAAAAGGCGGAGGAGAUUGUUUUACAAUGGUAAAAUGGGCAUUGUAUAUAAUUUACCUCCUGACCGUCAUUAAGACCUUUUCCUUCCUCGUCUCAUCCACGAUUUAUCUGCUUUUUCUUCUUUCAGAGGCAUUCCUUCAGGUAAAUCUCAAAAAUCAAGUUUCCCUUUUUUAAACUUAUUUAAUCAUAUACAAAAUUUCACUUCUCUAUAUAUAUUUUGUAAAAUUUAUUUUUAGAUCUGUUUCUUUUUCUUCCUAUUUUUUUUGCUGUUAAGAACAAUUCUGUUUUUAAGUCAAAUUUCAAAGUGUCUAUUCAAUAGUUAUGAUUAGUUUUUAGCUGUAACACUUGAAUUUCCCUUCUGGGUAUUUCAUUCUUAUUUGUUACACCUUAAUUAAUCCCUGAUAUUUCGGAUCUUCUUUAUAACUCUCUGAAUCUGAUAUAUAUAAAUAUAAAUUAUAAUAUAUUUUACGCAGACAUAUAAAUGCUAAAUUUAUUACAAUUUUACCUCCAUAGCAACCUGUGAUCACUGAUUUUUAAGGUCUGGGCCUAGAUCUGUGUUUCUAUUUAUGUUUUCCAUUUUGGGUUUGACCUUUUUUUUUUGUUUGGAUGCUGUGAAAAUGAAGGAAACUAAAGGGGGAAAAAAUAUAAAUUGUCUGUUUCUAUAUCUUAAUUCAAUCUUUUUUCUUAGAUCUGGUUGUUGACUUCUUUUUUGUAAUUAAUUAUUUGAAUGUUAGAUUUUUGAGGAAGAUGAAUCACUACAAUCUUCAGCAGAAUCCCGUUGCCGUUUCCGCUUACGAGGAGAUGGGAGGGUUUAUCUCUUCAAUAUCGGAGCAUCAUAGGGCCGGCCCCGUUGUUUGCCCUAAGCCUCGGCGAAUUGGGGUUCUCACCAAUAACCCUAUCAAGCCCUUUAGAUUGCAUAUGAGGUAUAAUUUUUCUUUUCUCUUUCCUUUGUGUUUUUCCCCCUUUUCUCUAAUUGGACUUUUGGUUGAUUUGAUUUGCUUGCUUUUAUUAAUUUAGUUUUUUGGUUUUCAAUUCCAGUCACCAAGCCGAUGUAAGUGAAUCGAAAGCCAGUGCAGAACUUCUAGAUAUCAUCCUCAACAAGGUAAUCACUGAAUCUCAAGUAUUAUAAAAAAGUGAAAAUACUAAUGUUAUAUACAUAUUGCUUUUUGAUAGUUGCUAUGGUUCUUAAAAGUAUUUGCGUCUUGCACUUCUAUCCGGAUAAACGACUAUACGAAAACGCUUCUAAAAGUCGGAUAUAUAUUUUCUUCCAGUUUGGAGUAAUAUAGGAGUUUUGCAUUUUUGAGGUUUGAGUUAUGUGUGUUAAUGUUUUUGUUUCUAGGAUGGACUUGUUUUAACGUGUUGUUUUGUUUCGGUUUUUGUAGGGUGAUUUAUGGGCAGAGCAAUCUGCAGCACAGGUAGCAUCUUCACCCCCAUUUUUUUGUGGUUCGCCCCCAAGUAGGGCCACGAACCCAGUUGUGCAAGAUGCUCGAUUUGGUGAUGAAAGAGUUGCAGCCCUUUCAGCAUCGCAAAGUCCAUCUCCGUCGCAAUCGGCACAUAAAGGGGGAUGUGUUAGGAUGUCGUUUGGGCUAAAACCAGCGGCAAUUAGAGUAGAAGGAUUUGAUUGCCUUAACAGGGAUAACCAAAAUUCCAGAAUCCCGGCUAUGGCUUAGAACUAGAGUGUACAUAAAAGGCCACCGUCCGGGUGAACAAAGCAGGGAUGAAUUAGGGAAAUAUGGAUUAUUUUUGGGGAGAAAGAGAUUGACUUGUGUGUAGUAGUGUAUAUAUGAUGUGGUUUUUGGUCUGGUAAAAUCUAAUAGAUUGCUGGGAUGGAAGGGAAGGCAAAUGUGAAAGGAUUGGAUUUUCAGGGGAUUGAGCAAAUGAUGAUGAAUUAGGGGAUUAAGUUUUGAAUGAUUGAUGGAGCAUUUUUGUAAUAUAAAUGAUUUGAUAUUUUGAUUUUGUAAAUCACCAUGGAGAAGAGCAGGGGAAGUUGUGUAUAGAUCCUAUUGGUGAUUGAAUUUUGUUCUGUAAUUUAUGAUUCAAUAAUUGUCAAUUUUUCUUCUUAUGACAUAUUGAGCAUCAUAUUUAUGUUUUAUCAUAUGAUAGCAACCGACAUGGUUCCUGAUGAUGGUCAUUGCAGGCACAUCCCCUCUAUAAAUCCCAUUGGGAGUGCAAUUUCCAUUUGCUUCAUGACUGGUUUUGACCUUAGCAGCUACACAAGAACCCAUUGCAAAACCUUCCGAAUCCCUUAUAGCAGCAGCUAUGAUUGAACAUGAUUUUUUGUGAGUCACUUUUUAGUUUAAUUAUACUUUUGAAAUUUAGUGCUUUUGCUUUUAAUUUUUUUAAAUUACUCAUUUUAUUUUUUAAAAUUUAAUAAUUAAAAUUCAGUUAAUAAGGGGGUUAAGGAAUUUCAUUAAAUUAGAUAAUAUGCCGUUUUAUUUUAAAAAUGGUUCAUUUGGCUGGUUGAAAGACGCGUAGAAAUCAUGUAAGCAAAAAAAAUAAAUAAAAAAUAAUAAACUUUAAUCUCUUUCGUUGAAAGAGUCUGAAGAAACUUACCAUCUUUAAUUUAGAAUUGAAACCUUAUAACUCUAUAUUUAAUAUUGUUUUUUUUUUUUUUGCUUAUUUAUGUUUGCAAUAUUAGAUACAUGAGUAUUUUUAAAAUGUUAUAUAUCUCACAUUCUUUUAGUGAUAUUUUUAAUUGAUUUUCAAUUAUUAAAUUCCUAGAAUUAAUAUUUGUUAGAGAUUGGCCUAUAUAAAUAUCGAAAUAGAAAAUGUAUAGAAAAUUGAACACAUAAAUAUUUACGUGGAAAACCCUCAUUUAAGAGGAUAAAAGUCACGAGCAAAGAAGGCUUCGACUUUUUACUAGAUGAGUAAACAAACGAGGGUACAAGAUGAAGAAAAUAAAUCUAAAUGUAUUAAACGUACAAACUCAAAUCUCGAAAACAAAGCCCUAACUUGGGAAUAAAAUUCUCUCCAUAGUUACCACGAAAACCCUCAUUAAAACUCAUUUGCAACUACAUAUUGUUGCCCCCAAAAGAAAAGUUCUAUAGUACUACAUCUUUAUUUGUCUUUCUAAAUUAGGGAUACAAUGACCCCUUUAAAUAGACUAAGUUUAAAAAGUUGAAAUGACUAAAAUAUCCCUAAAGUAAUUAAAGUUCGACUAGGAAAAUAUAACAGAGUUUAACUAAGAGAAGAAACUUGGUAUUUGUGGGAAACAUGUCGCCACGUCACAACGUCAUCAUUCGCGUUGUCACGAAGUCGUUCGUCAUCACGACGUUGGGAAGCUUCUCAUCGUGACGUCAUCAGCUGAAAUUGGUAAGUGCCUGCAAGCUAUCCGAUAAAUACGAGACACACCCUACAAACCUCCACCUUAACUCGUAUUUAACGUACCUUCUUCUCCAAGCCCUGCCACAUGUAGAACUCGAUCUUUGCAGAAUGUCAACCAAGCCUAAACCGUUCUCGAACUUGGAAACCGAAAGACUCCCUAGUCUUCAAAUCAAGGUUGUAUAAUGCAACCAAUGCCAAUGAUACCCGAACGGAUGUGUGCUUCACAACAAGAGAGAAAGCAUCGAGGAAAUCAACUCCCUCCACUUGACCGUCACCCUUUGCGACCAACCUUGCGUUAAACACUUUUCUUUAUUCUAAACUGCUACAAUAUGAAAUCUAUGAUUUCAUCAAAAUUUUCAAUAUCGAAAUUCGUUGUUAUUAUACUUGAAUGGGUCGAUUACAAGAACAUAACCUAGCUCUGAUACUAGUUUGUUGAGGAUCGACCUGUAUAAACAACGAACAAAAUUCUAAUUUUAUGUAUGAUUUAGUGGUUAAAAGAUAUUGAUUUAAUUUAGAUUUAAAGAAUUAGGUAAAUUUUUAUUUAGAUAAUACUCUUUGAACGGAGGGUGUGCGUAUAUAGUGUGAGUAUAUAUUUUUUUUGCAAUAGUUUAUAAUAUUGGUAAUAAUAAUAUUUUAUUAUGUAAAAAAAUUAUAAUUAUUUAUCAAAUAAUUGUAUUGUAAAGAUUAAAUUUUUGUAUAUAAAGUUAUAUUAUAAAACAAACAUAACAUUAUAAAAGGAUAUCUCAUUAAAAUAUAUAUCCUUAUGAAAUGAUAUAUUUGGAUGUUUAUAUAAACCGCUUUUUUAUUAAUAUUUUUAUUAUUUUACUUGAAGUGUUGAUGUUUAUAUAAACUGUUUUUUUAUUAAUAUUUUUAUUAUUUUACUUAAAGUGCUGAUGUAAUUUAAAAAUAUUUUAAAGUUUUAAAAAAAAUGUUUUACAUGUUUUAAACCAUUAUUAUAUUUCUUAUUUUACUUUCCCUAUUUAAUUUUUCUAAUAUAUUCCUUCCACGUGUGUAUCAACCUAACUGUAUAGUAUAAAUAUAAGAAAAACAAAAACAAAAAUUCACUCACCACUACAACCACACCCAUAAGCAGCUUUAGACAAUUUUGACUCUUACAAGUUCGUGAAAGCAUAAUUUAGAAGGGAUUUAUAUAAAUUGUUGGAAAAUAAACACAACGAUAAUUACAUAUUAUUAUUUACUAUCAUAAUAGGUUAGUCCAAAUUUAAAAGUGAUUUAAUUUGAUUACGGUUUAUUGUGCUUUAAUUAUUAAAUAAAAUAUAGAUCAAAUAUGUGUAGAUAUUCUAGUAACUAAUUUUUAAUUGAUGAUGGGCUGAUUAGAGAUUAGGGCUAAUAUGCCAAAGUUAUAUAUAUAUGUGUAGGGUUAUGGUCUCCAAAUUACAUAUAAAGUAAUUUUUCUAAUAUCCCAUCUUUAGAAAAGGUGAGUCACCUUCUCUAAUUACUUGUGUGCUAAUUUGGAAGACCAAAACCCUAAGAUCCGUAGAUUUCAAGAAAUCGAUGAAUUCAGGUACGCUUUCGCAUCUAGUUUUGUUCUUAAUUUAUUCUUGAUAAUUUGACAUGACGAAUCUUGCUUUACAGUUCUAAUUUUAUAUUAAAUAUUAUUUAUGGUUCUAACAAGUGGUAUCAGAGCUUCGUCAUGUCAUGUUGAAUUAUUGGGAAUGAAUUGAUUAUUUAUUAUUUUUGGAUUGAUUCGUUUUUCUUUUUUUAAUUUUAUGGAUUUGAUAUUUUAAUUAUAUACUAUGUUGAAUCUUUAAAUUCUUAAUAAAAUUUUUGAGUUUGGAUUCUUUAAAUAAAGUUUUAGGAUUUUAUAAAUAUAAUCUAGUUUAAUAUUUGAAUAUAUUAUUCGAAAGACAAAGGUUUAUUUAUUUAUUUAUAAUUAAAUGAUAAAGUUUGAUUUGUGGGAUUUCUUUCUCUUCUCUUCGCACAAUUAUUUUAUAAAUUUUGGUUAAAGUCAUUAUUAGAUUAAAGUUACAGACUUAUAACUUUUUGUAAUUGAAGAAUUUCAAUUGGGUUGUAUAAUUGGUUUUGAAUGUUAAUUCGCUUGAUAAUCGAAUGAAUGAAUGUUGUUAAGAUAUUUUUUUUCACACUAUUUAUUUUAAAUUUUCUGUUUGUGGUUGAAUGUAUAUGGAAUUAUCAUAUUUUGUCUUUAUUCAUAAUGAAUUAUAUUCACGAUUGAAUUCAAUUCAUAUAUACGAAUGAUUAUUUUUGGUUUCUGUUAUAAUUAUUUUAUAUAAGUUUUACUCAUUAUGGAACUGACUAAAAUUAAAACAUUUGGGUUUUUUUUAUACGGUGGCUAUGAAUUUUCAUAAGUAGUUGCGCAUAUGAAGGCCUUUAUACAAAUUGAGAUUUUUUUUUUAUAUUUGGUAGUUAUGGAUUUUUUUAAGUGUUUGUGCGUAUAAAGAAGUUUUAUGAUAAUGUCUUUAGUCAUGAAUAUAAAUUUGAGUUUACAUUAAAUAUGUAAGGCAAGUCAAUAUUAUUUUUCUAUUAUUAAAUCGUGUAUAUGCAUAUAUUAUAUGCAUAGCAAUGAUUUUGAGGAUUAAUACAUGAUCAUAAUUUGUGUGGAUAGGUGUUUAUAACCAUUAUUCAAUAAGAUAUCUUUUAUAGUUUAAUUUGUGACAUUAAGUUUUGAUGGAUAUCAUUGAAGUUGUUAAACUUUUUUUCUUGUUAUGGUUAUAUAUUCAAAUUUAUGUGUGCUUUGAUGCAAAUUCAUGUAAACUAUAUACAUGUUUAAAUAAUUUGGUUUUAAGUUUGGUUCUACAACAUUAGGUUCUGGCAUAUUAUGGUUCCAAUAUUUAGUUAAAUUAUGUUGAUAUGGUCUACAAUAUGAACUAUGGGAUAUAUCAACUAUUAUAAUUUUGUUUUUUAGAUUUAUUAGCUUGAAUGUAUUUUUCAAGUAUUCAUGCAAAUCUCUAUUUAAUCAUUAAUACAAUUUUGGAUUUACAUGGUAUAAGCAUGUAUAAGUUUUUUUAUCUGAUUUUGAAUACAUGUAUAUGUGUGAGUUACUUUGGUGUUUUUUUCUAUGCUAAAAGAGAGAGCCACAUUCUCAAGAUUACUUGUAUGCUAAUUUAGAAGAUCAAAACCCCGAGAUCCGUAAAUUUCAAGAAAUCGAUAAAUUCAAGAAUGCUUCCGCAUCUAAUUUUGUUCUUUUAAUUUAUUCUUGAUGAUUUGGCAUGACAGAUUUUAAUUUACAAUUCUAAUUUAUAUUAAAUAUUAUUUACUGUUCUAAUAUAAAUACCAUUGAGUAUUUUGCAAAUAACAUAAAAUUCUUAUAUUUUCACCCAACACAAAUUUAACAUCUUUUUUCAUUCGAAUUUAACACUAUAUUUUAUAUGAGAGAAAAAAUUGGGAUUUAUAUAAAUAUACAAUAUUAUGAGUUAUAAAAGUAUAAAAAGAAAACAAAUGCAAUUAUUGGUAGGUCUACAUUUAUGGUCCCGAAAAUAAAUUUAUAGGAGCCUUAAAAACUUCUCAUGUAUCCUUAGGGUAAAUAUGAGACCACUCAUUUUCUUACUACUAUUAUUUUAUUUUUUCUCAGUAUUCCAUUGGAUGGAUUUAUUCUGGUUGUUUCUUCUCAAAUAUAUAAGAUAUUUCAGUAACCUGCGAAAUAUUUUCUUUUUCUAAUUUGAUAUAUAUUUUUCCUUACAUAUGAGAGUAGGGUUAGUUUAAUAAUAUUUUUUAAAAGUGUAGUUGAAUUAAAAAGUAGUUUUGAGUUAAAGUUAAAAUUCUGUUCCUAUUUUUGGUAAGAAAAGUAUUUUUUUAAAGGAUAUUUUAUCUCAAAAAUACUUUUAAAAAACUUAAAAGUAUCUUGUUUAGAAAUAUUUUUAUUUUAAAAAAUAUUUUUUAUCUUUAAAAAAUACUUUUGAGAAGCAAUGUUAAACUUACCUUAAGACGUAAAUAAAAAAUUUUGAUGAUUGAGAAUAUUUUAAUGUGUAUUUUAAAAUUUUAGAUAAUUACCAUUUAACAGAAUAAAUACUUUAAUUUUUUUUAAAAAAAACACAUCUUAAAAUGAAAAAAAAAGAAAAAAAAAGAAGACUUUUAUUGUUCUUUUCUUUAUCUUUUAUGUAUUGCUUCUCUAAUCUUAACAUUUUUAGGCUAAACAUGGUAGAGAAAUAAUUAUGAAUUUUGUUAACAUCAGUUAUAAUGUUAUUUGCGACUUAAGAAAAGGCCAAAAGUCGACAAAAUAUUAUAAUUUACUUCACAUGUAUAUAUUUACAUAUUUUUGAGUAAAUUACAAUACUGAAAAACAUUGAAUUAAGUGAAAAAUUUCAAAUAAUCUUUAUGUAAUAUGCCAACCUCGUUUAAAAGAGAUUGAUUUAAGAAAAUCUCUUUUAUUAUAUUUUAUAAUAAAUUAUUUAAUUAGAAUAAGAUUUUUCAUAUUUAUUUCGAUCACAUUUACUCUUUUACAAAUUAUUAUAAUGCCUAUUUAAAUGUAUUUUCGAGUUUUUUUAGAGGAGUUGAGAGAGUAUUUAUUCUGUUUAUGUUACAAAUCUAUUUGAGUAUAAAUUCUUUGUAAGUAAUUUGUUUUUACUGAUUAAUUUAUAACUAAAUCUUUUGUGAAAUUUUAAUGUGAGAGUAAGUUGAAUUUAAAUUAUUAUCUUAUUAUUUAAGUAAGAUCUUAUAAAUGGAGAAAUUUUUUAAACCGUGCCAAUAAAUUUUUAAUGUCAAUUUUUGAGCAAAACCUUAUAGAUGGUAAAAUUUUUUGAAUUACGUUAGUGUCAUUUUUAUAUUUUCUAUUCCUAAUUACUUAUUCGAAUUGCAAUUUAACCAAUAUUUAAACUAAUAUCUGAUAGGCAAAUUUCUUUUUAGAGUUGUAUUCCAAUUAUUGGCGCACUUCGACUGAGAGGGAGAGGGAACAAUUCUUAUCUGAAUUUCUCCAUCUUUUGGUUCCACCACAAAUGUAGCUAUCCUUAAUAUUAGGUUUUCUUUUUCUUUUUUAUAGAAAAGAGAACGAAAAUUAUAGUCCACUAAUUAAGCACCAAUUAUAAAACAAAAAUUCCUAACCCUUUUGAGUUACAAAUUUUGAAAUGAAAUUGAGUUUAAGAACAUAGAGCUACUAAUAUUAUUCAAUAUUAUAAUUAAUAUGCAUCAUUAUGGUUUUCCUUUUCCAUGUUGGGUUAAAAACUAAUAAAGAUAAUCAUAAUUAUUAUUUUUAAAAUAAUAAUAAAUUCAAUUCUUAAUAUUUAUUCUUUUUUAUUAUUUUAGUUGUUUUUUUUUUUGAUAUUUUACCAUCCAAUCUUGAAAAUUAGUUAAAUUGCUCUUUUUAGAUGGAAAAAGUGACUAGAUUUUUUAAAUUUAAAUGGCAUUGAUGCAAUAGUUGCGAGAUGUAAUUUAUAAAAUUAAAAAAAAUAUUUUAAAAAAAAUCAUAAUUUUUUUAAAAAAAUUAUCCACAUAAACAAUAAUAUAUAUAUAAACUGUCAUACAGAUUGUUACAUAGUGUCAUUAAAAAUUUAAUAGUUCCUUCAAAUUUUCUAUUCAAAGCAAACUAAUAUUUGACUUUUAAAAAAAAAUUUAGAGUGAAAAUGAUAAAAUAAAAAUAUAUUAUAUAUUAAAUUUAUCAUUAUUUUUUAAAUUAAGUUCAAAGAUAUCAACUAAAACUUAUGUAAUGCAAAUCAUUUGUCACUAUACCAAUAGUGAUUUUAAUAUUUAACGAGGAAAUAGAUUGAAUGCUGAAUAUAUACAUUUGAAUUUAGCCUUUUUAAGUUGUUAUUUUAAUGAUAGAAACUUGUGAUGUUAUAAUAAAACAAUUUAAUAAAAAAUGGUUUGUUAGGUGUGUUCCUAUGUACUAAGAUAAUGAGCCUCCAACAGCACAGCGUUGCUUGUCCACAAAAUCUUUAUCCUCUUAUUUUAAAGCCAGACCACCCAAUCGCCUUUUUCUUUUUUAAUUUUUAUCCUAUCUUAACAUGAAUAUCUUAGCACUGGAAAUUAAGGAAGAACUGGAUUCAAGAAAUAUGGCAAGAAACUACCUUUUUAUUCAUUAGUUCUCAGCCGUUCCAUUGGAAAUCCAAAACAAAACAAAGAGAAAGACCCCAAGCCAAAUACCUCAAUUAAAAAAGAAAAAGAAAAAGGGGGGGUUUUGAGGGGCUUAAUUUAAGUACAACUUUGAAACAAAUGGAAUUCCUAGGAGGGAAGUAAACAACUUAGUAGCCUUUAGGCUUGUAGGCAAUGAAACUAAUGCACUGCACUUGACGAACGUUGUCGAACCCAAUGAUUCUAAUGAAUGCAUUGGGGUAUUCCUUCUUGCAAUUCUCAAGCUCCUCCAACACCUGAGCCGAGUCAGUGCACCCAAACAUGGGCAGUUUCCACAUGGUCCAGUAGCGUCCAUCGUAGUACGUGGGUAAGCUCGAGUACUUACGGUGCACGAAUCCCUCCUGCACAUACAUAUAAAACACAUUUAAUCAAAUCAAAUAUCCCACUAAAAAAAUAAAGUGUUGGAAAGGAAUAAUUUAGAGCUCGAAAACACCUCUAAUUCGAAUUCCAAGCAAGGAAUCCAUUUAGAGCGAAGAAGGUAAUCUACUUCCUUAGCCAACUGUACGGGUGUAAGAUCGGGGAGGUAUGAGAGUGUCUCGAACUUCUUCUUCCCAAGAGGAGGCCACACCUAUACUCAAAAGCCAAGAUAUAUAUUUGAUUCAAUUUAUGUAAUUUGUUGUGUUCAAACAAUUGGGGUAAUUUAAGUUGUAUUUAUGCAUCACCAAGUACCUGCAUGCAUUGCACUCUCCCACCAUUGCUUGCAAGAGAAGUGAUGUCGUUGUUGGCCUUCCUAGUGACUGGGAAAGCAGAGGCAGACUUGAGGCCGGUGAAGGGGGCCACCAUGUUGGCCUGUGCCGGGGAGGAGCAGUUCACGGUGGCAAUGGUUGCCGAUGAGAUCAUGGAGGAGGCCAUUGCUAUUACUGCUUACUAGUACUAUAUGCUACAGUUAUACAAAAGAGUCUCACUGAUCCCUUAAUA